AGCACGGAAUACAUUGUCAUAGAGCACUUG
Molecule: non-coding RNA, 30 nt
Filed under: Cricetulus griseus (Chinese hamster)
Lineage: Eukaryota; Metazoa; Chordata; Mammalia; Rodentia; Cricetidae
Source: RNAcentral